RNAcentral lists this ribosomal RNA (472 nucleotides) under uncultured bacterium. RNAcentral describes it as "bacterial SSU rRNA". It matches the Rfam family "Bacterial small subunit ribosomal RNA", at positions 328 to 793 of the family's 1533-position model. The record is from RNAcentral.
AUGCCAGACUCCUACGGGAGGCAGCAGUAGGGAAUCUUCCGCAAUGGGCGAAAGCCUGACGGAGCAACGCCGCGUGAUCGAAUGAAGGCCUUCGGGUUGUAAAGAUCUGUUGACAGGGACGAAUAAGCAAUGCGAAUAGUUUUGUGUAUGACGGUACCUGUUUAGAAAGCUCCGGCUAACUACGUGCCAGCAGCCGCGGUAAUACGUAGGGAGCAAGCGUUGUCCGGAAUUACUGGGCGUAAAGGGCGCGUAGGUGGGCGCUUAAGUCAGGUGUGAAAACUCCGGGCUCAACCUGGAGACUGCACUUGAAACUGGGUGUCUUGAGGGCAGGAGGGGAAAGUGGAAUUCCUAGUGUAGCGGUGAAAUGCGUAGAUAUUAGGAAGAACACCAGUGGCGAAGGCGGCUUUCUGGACUGAAACUGACGCUGAGGCACGAAAGCGUGGGGAGCGAACAGGAUUAGAUACCCCUGUAC